Molecule: non-coding RNA, 48 nt
Organism: Schistosoma mansoni
Lineage: Eukaryota; Metazoa; Platyhelminthes; Trematoda; Strigeidida; Schistosomatidae
Source: Rfam
AUCCAGCUGACGAGUCCCGAAUAGGACGAAAUGCGCGUCAAGCUGGAU